UAUCUUCUGGACCCGGCUCGGUUUCAUCGCUGAUGGUGGUGUCGACGAACGCAUUAUCGAGGUUCAACGCUUCGAAGAUAG
RNAcentral lists this transfer RNA (81 nucleotides) under Vibrio parahaemolyticus. RNAcentral describes it as "tRNA-Ile(gat)". The record is from RNAcentral. Lineage: Bacteria; Pseudomonadati; Pseudomonadota; Gammaproteobacteria; Vibrionales; Vibrionaceae.